GGUAAAGUGGCAGAGCGGCUGAAUGCAACCGCUUGGAAAGCGGUCAGGUUAGGUGAUACUAGCCUCGUAGGUUCAAAUCCUAUCUUUACCG
RNAcentral lists this transfer RNA (91 nucleotides) under Yersinia phage fHe-Yen9-04. Its description in RNAcentral is "tRNA-Ser-GGA". It matches the Rfam family "tRNA". Rfam says of the family: Transfer RNA (tRNA) molecules are approximately 80 nucleotides in length. Their secondary structure includes four short double-helical elements and three loops (D, anti-codon, and T loops). Further hydrogen bonds mediate the characteristic L-shaped molecular structure. tRNAs have two regions of fundamental functional importance: the anti-codon, which is responsible for specific mRNA codon recognition, and the 3' end, to which the tRNAs corresponding amino acid is attached (by aminoacyl-tRNA synthetases). tRNAs cope with the degeneracy of the genetic code in two manners: having more than one tRNA (with a specific anti-codon) for a particular amino acid; and 'wobble' base-pairing, i.e. permitting non-standard base-pairing at the 3rd anti-codon position. RNAcentral also lists the same sequence under 1 other name. Lineage: Duplodnaviria; Heunggongvirae; Uroviricota; Caudoviricetes. The record is from RNAcentral.